This 2710-nucleotide long non-coding RNA is filed under the name Triticum aestivum (bread wheat). RNAcentral's name for it is "long non-coding RNA (TAES_LNC022904)". Lineage: Eukaryota; Viridiplantae; Streptophyta; Magnoliopsida; Poales; Poaceae. The record is from RNAcentral.
UGCAAAAAAAGUAUAAACUUGUAUUACUCAAGCAGCAACCUUACACUCGUCCUUACACAAAUCAUCGACCUCGAGGGGGCGGAGCCGAGCCAGACUAUAGUUCUCCUUUCAGUUUUUGCAAAACUUGCUAAAAUAUCACUAACUACAUUUUGAGAACAGCUGAUAUAAGUAAUACGGGCCAUACGAAGAGACUUCAAAUGCUUGAUCUCCGCCACCAAAGAAGCAUACACAGACCUGUCCAUGUCCCUCCCAUUCAGAAUAUUCACCGCUGAAAAUGAGUCCAUCUUAAUGCAAACUGGUAGUUCCGUUCACUGUAUAGCAAUACAUAACCCCUUCAAGUUCGGACGCGAAGAAGCCAACAUGUCAUUCUUCAUCUGAUGGAAGAGUUGUUUUGCAUAGAAUAGAUUUUCAAUCAUUUUGCUUUUGCUUUUCUGAAAAUGCAUGCAGAAAAUUCCUUAAGUUUUAAUAAAACUUGUCGUUUUCAUAAAAACUGGAAUACAUUAGCUUCCACCCACUCAUAUGAUGCAUGCACUCAGAAUAUGUAUUUCGUCUUCUUAUUCCAUCCAUGAUACAUAAUAAUGUUACCAAGAUAGCUUGUCAGCCAACACGGAUACAUUGACACGACAAAACAGUAACUAUGUUCAUACCUUGUGAGUUAUAUUCUAAGUAUAUGUAGAUGAUGAUGAAUCAAAGCUUCUCUGCAUACUUAUUCCUCAGUACACUUGUCCUGUAACAAGUUAAUCUUGUGUCAUUAUAGAACUUAGUAGAGUUUAGUAACACUUGUAUGGGAAAAUGAUCAACCAGAUGAUCUGCAACUGCAAGAGCAGACUACCUUAUCAUGUAUUAGUACGUGACUCUCUUUCUUUGCUGCUGGUAACUUAUAACGGUAAUGCAGCACACGAAACUCAAGGGAAUCACGGUAAUACGUAUGCUCCCCUCUGAAAUACGCCCUUAACUACUGAAGAAAAAGAAGAAAUAGUACUCCUGACCAAAAAGAAGAAAAAUAGUACUCCUAACGAAAAAGAAGAAAUAACAACCAGCUCCAUGUAAAAAACAAUUAUGCUGCAAUAAUAGAAAUAGAAGUUACGAAAGCCUGACCAGUUAUUCCUGCCCACUAAGCAAAUCUGUAGCACUAUCAACCAUAAGCAUUGCAUUAUUGCAUACGGCUAAACUUGACAUAUAUGUACCACAGUGCAUCCAAACCUAUUUCAGCAAGAGAAAGAACUAUUCUUUUAGUUUUACUUGAUUUUUGUUAGCAAGUAAAAUUGUUGGAAGUGUAGCCGUGCGGUGCCAGAUUUACAUGGACCAUAUAAACCACAGUAAGAUGAUGUUAGCUAUCUGUAUAAAUUUGACUCUCCCAUGUCUGGAUUGCAAGAAUUUUCAUGAGCUUACCUGAGUACAAUGCCUCUGGUCCAGCUUCUUGGUGAAAACCAGAUGUGGUCUUGUUGCUGGAGCUGGACUACUCACCGGGACAUGAUUCUUCGGAUGACUUUCCGUUGUUGGAAACUCAUUGGAUUGGCACAACGACUUGUCUGGCCUCAUGAUGAUAGCACUUGUCGUCGACUCUGGAGCAUCAUACCAUGCUUAUGUUAAAAUCCCCAAAACUAAGAUAAGAUACAUAGAAAUCCCAAGAGUAUGUGUAAAAAAACGACCUGAUCAUGAAUUACAAAAUCUGUUCCGAGGGAAUAAUAAAUAAGAAGAAUGCAGUUUGUGUUAAUUACUUCCUUGCAUCAAUUUAAACUCCUAAAUGUUGCAGCUAGUUUCACAAAGGAAAGAAGAUGGCAAAAUAAUAAAAGUUUCCAUCCUAUAACCAUAACUAAACUUGGCUGCAAAUGAAAGAUAUCUACUACAGGAGUUGAUCCACGCUUUCAUCCUCACAUGUGACAGUCUCUUCUAAAUAACCGGAGUACAUUCUACGAGAAGGGAGGCUAAACUCACUCAAACAAUAACUGUGAACGAUCCUCAAGCAAUGACAUCCUUCUUGAUACAGCUAGCUGAAAUUAACAACAAGCGGGUUACUAUAUCCAAUUUCCAACUGAAAAGAUUAAGUGGUCAUGCACACACACAACUCAUUUGAAGAAUUUCAGACCAGCUAGUUAACAUGUGAAGCUGGGCUUCCUAUUUCAAGAUUUUUGUUAUAUCUCCGGGCCCAUUUCAGCAUAUGAUGGAACGAUUCUUUUAGCUCUUCUUUCUUAGACUCGCUCAAUCAUGUGCAGUUUUUGUGACAUCUGAACUUCAAAAUAAGCAAUCUGAAGAACAUAAUAAUCUCAAAACCCAAUAUGAACAGGGCUGACCACGCAACUUGGAUAAGAUUUUGAUGGAACGCAUCCAGAUCAAUCAGUCGAUCACCUCUCUCCGAAAAAAAUAUACACCACCAAAUUCAGAUGUUGCAGAAUUCUAUAGGAUCUCUUCAAGCUAAGAAUCAACAAGCUGAUGAGAGACCAAAAAUCAAAAUAAUAAUUGCACACGUUCAAAUGCGCACCUUCCAUCCAACUCUCAGAUUUGAAAGCAACUGAGAGUAUUUCAUUGAAGUGUCUGGACAUCUAAACUGUACAGCCUCAAGCAAUUCCAGAACCUACAUGAAACAAAUAGUACGUAAGAUUUUCCAGCGGACAAAUUGUCAGGAUAUCUUACUCUCACUGUUAAUGAAUAAAAGUUAAAUGAAACUGCUGGUAUAACAGUCUACUGGCCUGAAAUCCUGCUAUUCGUG